RNAcentral lists this ribosomal RNA (477 nucleotides) under uncultured bacterium. Its description in RNAcentral is "partial 16S ribosomal RNA". It matches the Rfam family "Bacterial small subunit ribosomal RNA", at positions 28 to 507 of the family's 1533-position model. The record is from RNAcentral.
GAUUAACGCUGGCGGCGUGCAUAACACAUGCAAGUCGAACGAUGAAACUUAAAUGAUUUCUUCGGAAUGAACUUAAGUGGAUUAGUGGCGGACGGGUGAGUAACGCGUGAGUAACCUGCCUUACACAAGGGGAUAGCCGUUGGAAACGACGAAUAAUACCCUAUGAUGUUUCUAUCUCGCAUGAGAUAUUAACCAAAGUGUUAGCGGUGUAAGAUGGACUUGCGUCUGAUUAGCUAGUUGGUGAGAAAAAAGCCCACCGAGGCAACGAUCAGUAGCCGGCUUGAGAGAGUGUACGGCCACAUUGGGACUGAGACACGGCCCAGACUCCUACGGGAGGCAGCAGUGGGGAAUUUUGCACAAUGGGGGAAACCCUGAUGCAGCGACGCCGCGUGAUUUAGAAGGCCUUCGGGUUGUAAAAAUCUUUUGUAUAGGAAGAAAAUGACAGUACUAUACGAAUAAGGUCCGGCUAAUUACGUG